UACGGGGGGUGCGAGCGUUGUCCGGAAUCACUGGGCGUAAAGGGCGCGUAGGUGGUUUGAUAAGGGUGUGGUGAAAGCCCGGGGCUCAACCCCGGGGUCUGCCGUGCCGACUGUCAAACUCGAGGGCUGUAGAGGCAGACGGAAUUCCGGGUGUAGCGGUGGAAUGCGUAGAGAUCCGGAGGAACACCAAAGGCGAAGGCAGUGUCCUGGGGAGUACCUGACGCUCAGGUGCGAAAGCCAGGGGAGCGAACGGG
RNAcentral lists this ribosomal RNA (254 nucleotides) under uncultured bacterium. RNAcentral describes it as "partial 16S ribosomal RNA". It matches the Rfam family "Bacterial small subunit ribosomal RNA", at positions 524 to 776 of the family's 1533-position model. The record is from RNAcentral.